This 254-nucleotide ribosomal RNA is filed under the name uncultured bacterium. Its description in RNAcentral is "partial 16S ribosomal RNA". It matches the Rfam family "Bacterial small subunit ribosomal RNA", at positions 524 to 777 of the family's 1533-position model. The record is from RNAcentral.
UACGAAGGGGGCUAGCGUUGCUCGGAAUUACUGGGCGUAAAGCGCACGUAGGCGGUCUUUUAAGUCGGGGGUGAAAUCCUGGAGCUCAACUCCAGAACUGCCUUCGAUACUGGAAGACUUGAGUCCGGGAGAGGUGAGUGGAACUGCGAGUGUAGAGGUGAAAUUCGUAGAUAUUCGCAAGAACACCAGUGGCGAAGGCGGCUCACUGGCCCGGUACUGACGCUGAGGUGCGAAAGCGUGGGGAGCAAACAGGG